This 396-nucleotide ribosomal RNA is filed under the name uncultured bacterium. RNAcentral describes it as "partial 16S ribosomal RNA". It matches the Rfam family "Bacterial small subunit ribosomal RNA", at positions 523 to 918 of the family's 1533-position model. The record is from RNAcentral.
AUACGAAGGGUGCAAGCGUUAAUCGGAAUUACUGGGCGUAAAGCGCGCGUAGGUGGUUCGUUAAGUUGGAUGUGAAAGCCCCGGGCUCAACCUGGGAACUGCAUCCAAAACUGGCGAGCUAGGGUAUGGCAGAGGGUGGUGGAAUUUCCUGUGUAGCGGUGAAAUGCGUAGAUAUAGGAAGGAACACCAGUGGCGAAGGCGACCCCCGGGGCUAAUACUGACACUGAGGUGCGAAAGCGUGGGGAGCAAACAGGAUUAGAUACCCGGGUAGUCCACGCCGUAAACGAUGUCGACUAGCCGUUGGGAUCCUUGAGAUCUUAGUGGCGCAGCUAACGCAUUAAGUCGACCGCCUGGGGAGUACGGCCGCAAGGUUAAAACUCAAAUGAAUUGACGGGG